GACGAACGCUGGCGGCGUGCUUAACACAUGCAAGUCGAACGGAAAGGCCCUGCUUUUGUGGGGUGCUCGAGUGGCGAACGGGUGAGUAACACGUGAGUAACCUGCCCUUGACUUUGGGAUAACUUCAGGAAACUGGGGCUAAUACCGGAUAGGAGCUCCUGCUGCAUGGUGGGGGUUGGAAAGUUUCGGCGGUUGGGGAUGGACUCGCGGCUUAUCAGCUUGUUGGUGGGGGAGUGGCUUACCAAGGCUUUGACGGGUAGCCGGCCUGAGAGGGUGACCGGCCACAUUGGGACUGAGAGACGGCCCAGACUCCUACGGGAGGCAGCAGUGGGGAAUAUUGCACAAUGGGCGGAAGCCUGAUGCAGAAACGCCGCGUGCGGGAUGACGGCCUUCGGGUUGUAAACCGCUUUCGCCUGUGACGAAGCGUGAGUGACGGUAAUGGGUAAAGAAGCACCGGCUAACUACGUG
This 468-nucleotide ribosomal RNA is filed under the name uncultured bacterium. RNAcentral's name for it is "partial 16S ribosomal RNA". It matches the Rfam family "Bacterial small subunit ribosomal RNA", at positions 28 to 507 of the family's 1533-position model. The record is from RNAcentral.